This 331-nucleotide ribosomal RNA is filed under the name uncultured bacterium. Its description in RNAcentral is "bacterial SSU rRNA". It matches the Rfam family "Bacterial small subunit ribosomal RNA", at positions 65 to 422 of the family's 1533-position model. The record is from RNAcentral.
AGCGGCCGUAGCAAUACGGCAGCGGCAGACGGGAGAGUAACACGUGGGAACGUGCCUUUCGGUUCGGGAUAACCCAGGGAAACUUGGGCUAAUACCGGAUACGCCCUUCGGGGGAAAGAUUCAUUGCCGAAAGAUCGGCCCGCGUCGGAUUAGCUUGUUGGUGGGGUAAUGGCCUACCAAGGCGACGAUCCGUAGCUGGUCUGAGAGGAUGACCAGCCACACUGGGACUGAGACACGGCCCAGACUCCUACGGGAGGCAGCAGUGGGGAAUAUUGGACAAUGGGCGAAAGCCUGAUCCAGCCAUGCCGCGUGGGUGAAGAAGGCCUUAGGG